Molecule: long non-coding RNA, 314 nt
Organism: Entelurus aequoreus (snake pipefish)
Lineage: Eukaryota; Metazoa; Chordata; Actinopteri; Syngnathiformes; Syngnathidae
Exons: 3
Source: RefSeq, a predicted model, not a curated record
GGAUUUGUCAUUAAUAUAGAUGCACAGAUGCUGAUGAUUCCAGAACUGCUCCAAGUUCAUCGCUAUGUGCUCACCUCCAGGUUCAUCCAGGAUCCCUUGGAGCUCCUAUUUAAUUCAAUCAGAGUGUCAGCUGCACGCCAGUUCCAAGCCAUUUCCGCCGUCUGGUGGUUCUUUGUGGUGUCGCACAGAGAGCCCAAGGUCUGGUGACGUAUAUCACGGGACCUUUGGUGGCCUAGGAUGGAAAAACAAGACAAUUCUCACAACAGACAAAACUCGUAUUUUCUGACAUUACCACAGUAAAAUAAUUAGUUCCU